RNAcentral lists this long non-coding RNA (1248 nucleotides) under Zonotrichia albicollis (white-throated sparrow). Its description in RNAcentral is "lncRNA (ENSZALG00000012255.1)". Lineage: Eukaryota; Metazoa; Chordata; Aves; Passeriformes; Passerellidae. The record is from RNAcentral.
CCCAAACCUGGAGCUCAGAGAGAGUUCCCCAUGGGGCCCUGCCUUUAAUCCCCGAUGCAUUUUUGGUUGUGUAAUUCCAAGGAGAGUGGCUCCUGCUCCCAUCUGCCCCUGCCAUCUGCUGCCCAGGGCUCUGCGGAGGAGGGAGCUGCUCCUGGAGCCCAGCUGGGCAUGGCAGCUCCUCAUGGGCAGCAUCUGUGCCCGCUGCAGCCUUUCCCUGGCUCCCAAAGCCACUUUGCUCCUGCUGGGCUCGCUGGGGAUGCUCUGCUGCCCUCACCCGAGGCCUGGGGACAGCCAGCACAAAGUGUCCCUUUCUAGUCCCAAAAUGUCCCUUUCUAGUCCCAAAAUGUCCCUUUCUAGUCCCAAAAAGCCUGGCCUGGCACCUGCUGGGGCCAGUGGAGACAGAGUGUCCCAGUGCUCCCAGUGCUCCCAGUCCAAGAUUUCUCAGCAUUCUCAGUGCCCAAAGACCUCCCAGUGCUCCCAGUGCUCCUUCCCAGUGUUCCCAUUGCCUGAAGGCUUCUCAGUUCUCUGAGUGCUCCCAGUGUUCCCAGUGCUCUGAGCCUUCCCAGUCCCCAAAAGUUUCCAGUUCUCCCAGUGUUCCCAGUGCCCCAAAACCUCCCAGUGCUCCCAGUGCCCAAAAACCUCCCAGUAUUCCCAGUGUUCCGAGUGUUCCCAGUGCUCUCAGCCUUCCCAGUCCCCAAAACUUUCCAGUUCUCCCAGUGUUCCCAGUGCCCCAAAACCUCCCAGUGCUCCCAGUAUUCCCAGUGCUCCCAGUGCCUGAAAACCUCCUGGUGUUCCCAAUGCUGCCAGUGCCCAAAAACUGCCCGGUGUUCCCUAUAUUCCCAGUGCUCCCAGUGUUCCCAGUGCCCAAAAACCGCCCAGUGUUCCCGGUAUUCCCGGUGUUCCCAGUGCUCCCAGUGCCCGAAAACCACCCAGUGUUCCCAGUGCUCCCAGUGUUCCCAGUGCCCAAAAACCGCCCAGUGUUCCCCGUGUUCCCGGUAUUCCCAGUGUUCCCAGUGCUCCCAGUGUUUACAGUGCCCAAAAACCGCCCAGUGUUCCCAAUGUUCCCAGUGUUCCCAGUGCCCCUAGUGCCCAAAAUCCUCCCAGUGUCCCCACUGUUCCCAGUGCCUGAAAAACAUCCAGCAUUCCCAGUAUUCCCAGUGUUCCCAGUGUUCCCAGUGAUGCUGCCGGUGGUGCCUCCGGUGCCGGUUCCCCUCCNNNNNNNNNNNNNNNNNNNNNNNNNNNNNNNNN